RNAcentral lists this ribosomal RNA (1128 nucleotides) under Triticum aestivum (bread wheat). RNAcentral describes it as "partial small subunit ribosomal RNA". The record is from RNAcentral. Lineage: Eukaryota; Viridiplantae; Streptophyta; Magnoliopsida; Poales; Poaceae.
AUGACCACUGUUCGCACUCUUUUGGCUGUUGCUGCUGUUCGGCAGUGGUCCAUCUCUCAAUUAGAUGUCAAGAAUGCCUUCUUGAAUGGUGAGCUGCGGGAAGUGGUCUAUAUGCAGCCGCCUCCUGGCUAUACUGUCUCUGAUGGCACUGUCUGUCGCCUUCGGCGCGCUCUUUACGGGCUGAAACAAGCUCCUCGUACCUGGUUUGAGUGUUUCUCCGCCGUCAUCACAAGGAUCGGGUUCUCUGCUAGUGUUCAUGAUCCUGCUCUGUUUAUUCACACUUCUCCUCGCGGUCGCACCCUUUUACUACUCUAUGUUGAUGACAUGAUUAUCACAGGGGCUGACCACCAAUUCAUUGAUUUUGUGAAGAAACGUCUACAUGAGCAAUUCUUGAUGACUGAUUUGGGUUCUCUUCGCUACUUUCUUGGACUUGAGAUCAUUUCUUCCCCUGAGGGUAUUUAUCUCUCUCAAGAGAAGUACAUCCAAGAUCUUCUCACUCGUGCCUGCCUCACUGAUCAGCGCAUGGUUGACACUCCUAUGGAGUUUGGUCUCCAUCUUCGUCCUGGUGAGGGUGAACCCCUUGCAGAUCCCACACGCUACCGCCAUCUUGUUGGGAGCCUUGUCUAUCUAGGCAUCACUCGUCCUGACAUUUCUUAUGUUGUGCACAUUCUAAGUCAGUUUGUCUCUGCUCCCACUCAACUUCACUACAGUCACCUUCUUCGUGUUCUUCGUUACCUUCGUGGUACCGCGACUCGUCGCUUAUUCUUCCCUCGCUCCAGCUCUCUUCAGCUUCAGGCCUACUGUGAUGCUACCUGGGCCAGCGAUCCCACUGAUCGCCGCUCUCUCUCUGCCUAUUGUGUUUUUCUUGGCUCCUCCCUGAUUGCCUGGAAGACCAAGAAGCAGAAUGCUGUAUCUCGCUCCAGUGCUGAGGCUGAGCUGCGAGCUAUGGCGUCCGUGACUGCAGAAAUUACUUGGCUACGAUGGCUUCUUCAGGAUUUUGGUGUUUCCACUGCUACACCGACCCCUCUGCUCUCCGACAGCACUGGGGCACUCAGCAUUGCCCGUGAUCCUGUUAAGCAUGAGCUCACCAAGCACAUCGGUGUUGAUGCCUCCUACACUCGUUCUUAG